RNAcentral lists this ribosomal RNA (407 nucleotides) under uncultured bacterium. RNAcentral describes it as "partial 16S ribosomal RNA". It matches the Rfam family "Bacterial small subunit ribosomal RNA", at positions 28 to 526 of the family's 1533-position model. The record is from RNAcentral.
GACGAACGCUGGCGGCGUGCCUAAUACAUGCAAGUAGAACGCAGUUGCGAACGGGUGAGUAACGCGUAGGUAACUGCCUGGUAGCGGGGGCUAACUAUUGGAAACGAUAGCUAAUAACGCAUACUACCAGAUGUACCUGCGUUGUAUUAGCUAGUUGGUGAGGUAACGGCUCACCAAGGCAAAGAUACAUAGCCGGGGUGGGGGGGUGAACCGGCAAACUGGGACUGGGGCACGGCCCAGGCUCCUACGGGAGGCAGCAGUAGGGAAACAUCGGCAAUGGGGGGAACCCUGACCGAGCAACGCCGCGUGGUUGAAGAAGGUUUUCGGAUCGUAAAGCUCUGUUGUUAAGGAAGCGGUACUUAACCAGAAAGGGACGGCUAACUACGUGCCAGCCGCCGCGGUAAUUC